This 610-nucleotide ribosomal RNA is filed under the name Filobasidium floriforme. Its description in RNAcentral is "partial large subunit ribosomal RNA". It matches the Rfam family "Eukaryotic large subunit ribosomal RNA", at positions 1 to 624 of the family's 3401-position model. Lineage: Eukaryota; Fungi; Basidiomycota; Tremellomycetes; Filobasidiales; Filobasidiaceae. The record is from RNAcentral.
CUCAAAUCAAGUAGGACUACCCGCUGAACUUAAGCAUAUCAAUAAGCGGAGGAAAAGAAACUAACAAGGAUUCCCCUAGUAACGGCGAGUGAAGCGGGAAGAGCUCAAAUUUGAAAUCUGGUGGCCUCAGGUCAUCCGAGUUGUAAUCUAUAGAAGUGUUUUCCGUGCUGGCUCAUGUACAAGUCCCUUGGAACAGGGCGUCAUAGAGGGUGAGAAUCCCGUCCUUGACAUGAACUACCAGUGCUCUGUGAUACAUUUUCAACGAGUCGAGUUGUUUGGGAAUGCAGCUCAAAAUGGGUGGUAAAUUCCAUCUAAAGCUAAAUAUUGGCGAGAGACCGAUAGCGAACAAGUACCGUGAGGGAAAGAUGAAAAGCACUUUGGAAAGAGAGUUAAACAGUAUGUGAAAUUGUUGAAAGGGAAACGAUUGAAGUCAGUCGUGCUCUUUGGAUUCAGCCGGUUCUGCCGGUGUACUUCCUUUGAGUGGGGUCAACAUCAGUUUUGAUCGCUGGAUAAAGGCUGGAGGAACGUAGUACCCUCGGGUAAACUUAUAGCCUCCUGUCACAUACAGUGGUUGGGACUGAGGAACGCAGCACGCCUUUAUGGCCGGGAU